GAUGAAGAACGUAGCGAAAUGCGAAAAGUAGUGUGAAUUGCAGAAUUCAGUGAAUCAUCGAAUCUUUGAACGCACAUUGCGCCCCUUGGUAUUCCAUGGGACAUGCCUGUUCGAGCGUCAUUUGUACCUUCAAGCUCUGCUUGGUGUUGGGUGUUUGUCCCGCUUUUUGCGUGGACUCGCCUCAAAGCAAUUGGCAGCCGGCGUACUAGCCUGGGAGCGCAGCACAUUUUGCGCAUCUCGACUGGAACGCUUGCGUCCAUUAAGCCUACACUUUUGCUCUUGACCUCGGAUCAGGUAGGGAUACCCGCUGAACUUAAGCAUAUCAAUAAGCGGAGGA
This 337-nucleotide unclassified non-coding RNA is filed under the name soil metagenome. RNAcentral's name for it is "partial contains 5.8S ribosomal RNA, internal transcribed spacer 2, and large subunit ribosomal RNA". The stretch from base 1 to 120 matches the Rfam family "5.8S ribosomal RNA", at positions 35 to 154 of the family's 154-position model. The record is from RNAcentral.